CCUCCCCUGAGUUCACUCCAACACAGGCAGGACGGGGGUGUCUGAGGUCUGGAGGAAAUCUCUCGGCUGCCAGCCAGCAGGUCCCGCAGCAGCUCAGCCCAGCCCCGCUCCCCUCCACCAGGAGCGGGUGGCUGGGAGUUAACGUCCCCAUGCAGAGCCGUGUGAUGAGCAGCCUGUUCUUCUUUUUCUGCCAUGGCUUAUGAAUCACAGCACGGCAGACAGUCGCAAGCCUUUAAAUCAGUGUCAGCGAGAUCAGCCCCACCACUUCAAAGUAAGGAGAGGUGAAGUUUCCGCUCUCCAAACCAGUUAAUUGCGUGGUUUGGAUUUAUGUACUUUCUCUCAAACAUCGUUGGUUUUUUCUUUGUUUUAUAAGGUCAGAGGCACACAAGUAUUUAAAGCAUGCACGUGCGUGUGAGUGUGCGUGCAUGCAUACACACACAUAUUGCAGCUUAAGAUACUGCAGAUAUAAUCACUCCAGUAAAAGCAGAAUCUUAAACUGAAGUAUGUAACCAUUUUGGCCAGGAAUCAAACCAAACAUUCCCUGGCCCCUGCCCAUCCAUUUAAUCAGCCUAACAGAAGCCUUUCUGCAGUGCCCCAAGCCCCGAGCCAGGCUUUCCAGGCUGCCCACUCCAGGAACAACGCAGAGCAUCGCCUCUCUCACAGGGGAGGUGACUUGCAGCGCACCAUUUAUAGAGCAACUGACCUUUAUUUUAGAGACUGCUUAAGCAAAGUAACAUGCAAAAAAAAAACACACUUGAGAAAGAGUCUCAUCUGCCUCUGGGCUCCUGCAAAUCCUUUUCUGUUCCUCCUUUGUAGCACAAUGUGUUGGACGCCUGUUGUUCAUCCCCAUAGAGCACGGCGUGUACAUCCAUGCUGUCUGUCCUUUGGCUGGAGCUAUGUUCGCAGAUUUCCCAUGGGAAAGGGGGUGCUUUGCUUCAAAGAGUACUACCAGGGCAUUGCAUGGGCCACAGGGCCCCGUGCACCACUGCCAGGGAAGAUGUAGGGGAUGUGGCUGUCUGCACCAAAGGACUUCACAGGACCCAGCUGGGAGGUGAGGGUGAAACCACCUGCAACCUGUCAUGCUGCAGGUGUGCUUUGCAGGAGCACAUCCCCACGCAUCAGUGUCUGGAAACAAUCUGUUCUGGAGACAGCAGCCUGAUGUGUGCAUCCUUGGUGGGCACCCACAGCUCCAGCCAGAGCCCAGAGAGAGGAGAGGCGCCUGCGCUCUGCCUGCAGCACGCUGGCGAGGCACCUCCUCCUUCAUGCUCGUCCCCGGCUCCUGUGCCGGUUUCUCCCAUUGCUGCCUACCUGUGCCAGGAGCACUCGGGGACUCGUGGGGACCUGUGGCUGGAGCAGGGCGGGUCUGGCCCCUCUGCACACAGGAGCCAGCAGCGGUGGUGCCAGGACGUGGCUGGGGCUGAUGGCAGCCACACCAGGAGAUGGCGGAUACCUGGCGAUCCCAGCGCAUGGCCAUUCCUCUUCCGCAGCAUCUUGCCUCCUGCUGUACAUCUGACCUUCUCUCUCCUGUCUUCACAUGCCCUCCAUGUUAUGCGCCUGGCCCGAUUCCUAAGGGUGACUCUUGAAUUUGGACCGAGCGUGCUGUGCCAUUUCCUGGAGUCCCCAUGCAGCUUGUGA
Anser cygnoides (Swan goose) is the source of this 1635-nucleotide long non-coding RNA. NCBI's taxonomy places the organism in Eukaryota, Metazoa, Chordata, Aves, Anseriformes, Anatidae. The record is from Ensembl.